This 526-nucleotide ribosomal RNA is filed under the name Cercozoa sp. KU-B-S-4-10. Its description in RNAcentral is "bacterial SSU rRNA". It matches the Rfam family "Eukaryotic small subunit ribosomal RNA", at positions 4 to 528 of the family's 1831-position model. Lineage: Eukaryota; Cercozoa. The record is from RNAcentral.
CUGGUUGAUCCUGCCAGUAGUCAUAUGCUUGUCUCAAAGAUUAAGCCAUGCAUGUCUAAGUAUAARCAACUUUAUACUGUGAAACUGCGAACGGCUCAUUAUAUCAGCAAUUAUUUAUUUGAUGGUCUCUUACUACAUGGAUAACSGUAGUAAUUCUAGAUCUAAUACAUGCGUAAAGACCCGACUCUUGCGGGGAGGGUUGUAUUUAUUAGAUUAAAAACCAAUGCGGGUUAUGCCCGGUUUCAUGGUGAGUCAUAGUAACUUUUCGGAUCGCAUGGCUUCACGCCGGCGACAGUUCAUUCAAAUUUCUGCCCUAUCAGCUCUCGACGGUAGUGUAGUGGACUACCGUGGCAUUUACGGGUGUCGCAGAAUUAGGGUUCGAUUCCGGAGAGGGAGCCUGAGAAAUGGUUACCACAUCUAAGGAAGGCAGCAGGCGCGCAAAUUCCCCAAUCCUCUCAUAGGGAGGUAGUGACAAUAAAUAACAAUACCGGGCCUCACAGGUCUGGYAAUGUAAUGAGUACAGUUU